This 508-nucleotide ribosomal RNA is filed under the name uncultured bacterium. RNAcentral describes it as "bacterial SSU rRNA". It matches the Rfam family "Bacterial small subunit ribosomal RNA", at positions 791 to 1304 of the family's 1533-position model. The record is from RNAcentral.
UAGUCCACGCCGUAAACGAUGAUCACUCGCUGUAGGCGAUACACAGUCUGUGGCUAAGCGAAAGUUUUAAGUGAUCCACCUGGGGAGUACGAUCGCAAGAUUGAAACUCAAAGGAAUUGACGGGGGCCCGCACAAGCGGAGGAACAUGUGGUUUAAUUCGAUGAUACGCGAGGAACCUUACCUGGACUUAAAUGUAGAUUGCAUAGCUUAGAGAUAGGCUUUUCUUCGGACUAUUUACAAGGUGCUGCAUGGUUGUCGUCAGCUCGUGCCGUGAGGUGUCGGGUUAAGUCCCAUAACGAGCGCAACCCUUGUCCUUAGUUGCCAGCACGUAAAGGUGGGAACUCUAAAGAGACUGCCGGUGAUAAACCGGAGGAAGGUGGGGACGACGUCAAGUCAUCAUGGCCCUUAUGGGUAGGGCUACACGCGUGCUACAAUGGGCGUCCCAAUGGGCAGCUAAGUCGCGAGAUGGAGCUAAUCCUGCAAAGACGUUCUAAGUCCGGAUUGGAGU